AAAAAAAAAAUACGGGAAAAUUUCCCGAAUUUUUCAUUGUACUAAUGAACUCAAAAUCGUUCAAUUUUUUUUAUGUCAUGUUUUGAAACCCCGGACCUGCGCAGAAAUGUACAAUAUACUUCCUUUUUCCGGUCUCGUUUGUAUGAAACUUUGAGUAAAAUAUAUAUUUAUCAGUCUAGUAUAAAAUAGGAAGGAACGCGCAAUACUUAUUUCAUUUUUAAUAAUUCCUUGAUAUGAAAAAACGUUACCUAAUGAUAGCGUUUCUUGUUUACAUUGCAUAUGACGUCAUAAUUUGAAUAACGUCACAACUAAAAUCCCUAACAACAGAACCAAAAUCGGAAACGUUACUGUAUUUCCGUGUCUUUUUUUUUGGACAAAUAAUUGAGUUACAAAAAAAUAAUUCAUACAGACUUCGUCCCCAUUUACAGGUAAUGCCUGCCUCAUAUUAUGGGGACGGAGUCCCCAAUAACAGUAGAAAAUUCAAUAAAAAAAAAAAAAUACGGGAAAAUUUCCCGAAUUUUUCAUUGUACUAAUGAACUCAAAAUCGUUCAAAUUUUUUUUUGUCGUGUUUUGAAAUCCCGGACCUGCGCAAAAAUGUACAAUGUACUUCCUUUUUCCGGUCUCGUUUGUGUGAAACUUUGAGUAAAAUAUAUAUUUAUCAGUCUAGUAUAAAAUAGGAAGGAACGCGCAAUACCAAUUUCAUUUUUAAUAAUUCCUUGAUAUGAAAAAAACGUUACCUGAUGAUAGCGUUUCUUUGUUUACAUUGCAUAUGACGUCAUAAUUUAAAUAACGUCACAACUAAAUCCCUAACAACAGAA
This 818-nucleotide long non-coding RNA is filed under the name Mytilus galloprovincialis (Mediterranean mussel). The record is from RNAcentral. Lineage: Eukaryota; Metazoa; Mollusca; Bivalvia; Mytilida; Mytilidae.